UCCGCUGAAUUUAAGCAUAUAAUUAAGCGGCAGAAAAGAAAAUAACCAUGAUUCCCCUAGUAACGGCGAGUGAAGC
This 76-nucleotide ribosomal RNA is filed under the name Babesia vogeli. Its description in RNAcentral is "partial 28S ribosomal RNA". It matches the Rfam family "Eukaryotic large subunit ribosomal RNA", at positions 24 to 99 of the family's 3401-position model. The record is from RNAcentral. Lineage: Eukaryota; Apicomplexa; Aconoidasida; Piroplasmida; Babesiidae.